This 498-nucleotide unclassified non-coding RNA is filed under the name uncultured Glomus. Its description in RNAcentral is "SSU rRNA". It matches the Rfam family "Eukaryotic small subunit ribosomal RNA", at positions 591 to 1092 of the family's 1831-position model. Lineage: Eukaryota; Fungi; Glomeromycota; Glomeromycetes; Glomerales; Glomeraceae. The record is from RNAcentral.
CCAAUAGCGUAUAUUAAAGUUGUUGCAGUUAAAAAGCUCGUAGUUGAAUUUCGGGAUUAGUACGUUGGUCGUGCCUUGGUACGUACUGGUGUAACUGAUUCCUCCCUUCUGACGAACCGUUAUGCCAUUAAUUUGGUGUGGCGGGAAAUCAGGACUGUUACUUUGAAAAAAUUAGAGUGUUUAAAGCAGGCUCGCGCUUGAAUACAUUAGCAUGGAAUAAUGAAAUAGGACGUUAAUCCUAUUUUGUUGGUUUCUAGGAUCGACGUAAUGAUUAAUAGGGGUAGUUGGGGGCAUUAGUAUUCAAUUGUCAGAGGUGAAAUUCUUGGAUUUAUUGAAGACUAACUACUGCGAAAGCAUUUGCCAAGGAUGUUUUCAUUAAUCAAGAACGAAAGUUAGGGGAUCGAAGACGAUCAGAUACCGUCGUAGUCUUAACCAUAAACUAUGCCGACUAGGGAUCGGAUGAUGUUAAUUUUUUAAUGACUCAUUCGGCGCCUUACG